GAUAAUCAGUUGGAUUAGUGGCGCAAAUCAGACACAAAAGAGAAACGAAACUUGUAAGGACCUGAAUAAGAAAUGGUCAUUGGGUUCUAGCUAGAGGCAGCCAGGCCCAUCAGACUAAGGGCACAUAACCAUAGAAGGGAUUUUUUUUAAAGUCAGAUUCUUCAAUUGCUAAUUUUUCACUCUCUUUCUAAAAACCCUUAUCCUAAAUAUUGCUCUGCCUUCUCUCUAAAAUACCACUCUUUUGAACCGUUCAAUCUUUGGUAAAGAAGGUACCUAAACACUCCUAACGUAGAAGGCUUCAUUCUGAACCGAUUACUUUCUCCUCCUUCCGGUAAGUGGUUCUCCUGUUUCCUCCAUUAUUUUCGAAACCUAGGGCUUGGGUUUUACUGAUCUCAUGCAGUUAGAACCUCCCCUUUUCUGAUUUCUAUUAUAUUCUAGCUUUAAGACCUGUUUUCCAUCGCCUCUUUGGUGAGUUGUAGGGUGUUGUUGUGCUCCUUUGGGUGUGUACUGUCUUAGGGCACUCGUAACAAGUGGUACUGUCAAGCUUUCCAGGUAAGGGGAGCUAAUUAUUUUCUUGGUUGAAUCUGUUUAAUGUUUUAUGCAUGUUGAAUUAAAAAAAAAAUAUGAUGUACUGUUGAGAAUGUAUUGUUAUUGUUUUAAGUAUUUGGUUUGGUAUGAACUGGAUUGAACAAAUUAUGAGCUGUGAAUGAUUCCUGUAUAUUAUUGAUGAAUGUAAUUUGUCUGGAAUGAGUAUUGAAUGUGAUUGACUUGUUUUAAGAAGGUCUUGGGUGAGACUUUAACUAGCAUUGCUAUGGGUACUAAUGGGGUGCAUGAGUGUUGUUUCAGAUUACUGUGGGAGGGGGGUAAAAUAUAAAAAUUGGGCGUCUGAGGUUUAGAGCACAACAUACUAGUUUAGGCAACUUAAAUAAAUUAAUUAGAACUUGUUGAGAGCCUUUCUUUGUUGGUAGGAUAGAGGAACCUUAAAAACCUGAGUUGGCACAUCCCUGAUCAUAGAGCAGCCGUGGCCUGGUCCAGUUAGUUGUGACUAGUCAUAUGUGCUGGCGCCGAAGGUGAGUCUGAUGCGUUCAGACAUCUGGGUCCUCUCCGGUGACCAAUUGGGGUGUAAGGAGGGUUGGGAGAAGGUAAGAU
This 1149-nucleotide long non-coding RNA is filed under the name Vigna radiata. Its description in RNAcentral is "long non-coding RNA (VRAD_LNC006236)". The record is from RNAcentral. Lineage: Eukaryota; Viridiplantae; Streptophyta; Magnoliopsida; Fabales; Fabaceae.